AGGACGAACGCUGGCGGCGUGCUUAACACAUGCAAGUCGAGCGGUAAGGCCUUUCGGGGUACACGAGCGGCGAACGGGUGAGUAACACGUGGGUGAUCUGCCCUGCACUCUGGGAUAAGCCUGGGAAACUGGGUCUAAUACCGGAUAUGACCUGCUCUCGCAUGGGGGUGGGUGGAAAGAUUUAUCGGUGCAGGAUGGGCCCGCGGCCUAUCAGCUUGUUGGUGGGUAAUGGCCUACCAAGGCGACGACGGGUAGCCGACCUGAGAGGGUGACCGGCACACUGGGACUGAGCACGGCCCAGACUCCGUACGGGAGGCAGCGAGUGGGAAUAUUGACACAAGUGGGACGAAAGCCUGAUGCAGCGACGCCGCGU
This 373-nucleotide ribosomal RNA is filed under the name uncultured soil bacterium. Its description in RNAcentral is "bacterial SSU rRNA". It matches the Rfam family "Bacterial small subunit ribosomal RNA", at positions 26 to 402 of the family's 1533-position model. The record is from RNAcentral.